GUCCACGCCGUAAACUAUGAUUACUCGAUAUUGGCGAUAUACGGUCAGUGUCUAAGCGAAAGUGAUAAGUAAUCCACCUGGGGAGUAUGGUCGCAAGAUUGAAACUCAAAGGAAUUGACGGGGGCCCCGCACAAGCGGUGGAGCAUGUGGUUUAAUUCGAUGAUACGCGAGGAACCUUACCAGGACUUGAAUGCAUUUUGACAGAUUGAGAAAUCAGUCGUUCUUCGGACAAUUUGCAAGGUGCUGCAUGGCUGUCGU
RNAcentral lists this ribosomal RNA (258 nucleotides) under uncultured bacterium. Its description in RNAcentral is "partial 16S ribosomal RNA". It matches the Rfam family "Bacterial small subunit ribosomal RNA", at positions 793 to 1055 of the family's 1533-position model. The record is from RNAcentral.